RNAcentral lists this ribosomal RNA (402 nucleotides) under uncultured Methanomicrobiales archaeon. RNAcentral's name for it is "bacterial SSU rRNA". It matches the Rfam family "Archaeal small subunit ribosomal RNA", at positions 935 to 1338 of the family's 1478-position model. Lineage: Archaea; Methanobacteriati; Methanobacteriota; Methanomicrobia; Methanomicrobiales. The record is from RNAcentral.
UAAGACAGCUGAAUGAUAGUCGGGCUGAAGACUCACUUGACUAGCUGAGAGAGGUGCAUGGCCGUCGUCAGUUCGUACUGUGAAGCAUCCUGUUAAGUCAGGCAACGAGCGAGACCCACGCCAACAGUUGCCAGCUCGUCCUCCGGGAUGGUGGGGACACUGUUGGGACCGCCUCUGCUAAAGAGGAGGAAGGAAUGGGCAACGGUAGGUCAGCAUGCCCCGAAUUAUCUGGGCUACACGCGGGCUACAAUGGGUGGGACAAUGGGUAUCGACACCGAAAGGUGAAGGCAAUCUCCUAAACCCAUCCGUAGUUCGGAUUGUGGGCUGCAACUCGCCCACAUGAAGCUGGAAUCUGUAGUAAUCGUGUCUCAAAAUGGCACGGUGAAUAUGUCCCUGCUCCUU